GAUGGAAGAACGUAGCGAAAUGCGAUAAGUAGUGUGAAUUGCAGAAUUCAGUGAAUCAUCGAAUCUUUGAACGCACAUUGCGCCCCUUGGUAUUCCAUGGGGCAUGCCUGUUCGAGCGUCAUUUGUACCUUCAAGCUCUGCUUGGUGUUGGGUGUUUGUCUCGCCUCUGCGUGUAGACUCGCCUCAAAACAAUUGGCAGCCGGCGUAUUGAUUUCGGAGCGCAGUACAUCUCGCGCUUUGCACUCAUAACGACGACGUCCAAAAGUACAUUUUUACACUCUUGACCUCGGAUCAGGUAGGGAUACCCGCUGAACUUAAGCAUAUCAAUAAGCGGGGA
Molecule: unclassified non-coding RNA, 337 nt
Filed under: soil metagenome
Description: partial contains 5.8S ribosomal RNA, internal transcribed spacer 2, and large subunit ribosomal RNA
Rfam family: 5.8S ribosomal RNA (bases 5-121)
Source: RNAcentral